Monosiga brevicollis MX1 is the source of this 81-nucleotide transfer RNA. It matches the Rfam family "tRNA". From Rfam's summary of the family: Transfer RNA (tRNA) molecules are approximately 80 nucleotides in length. NCBI's taxonomy places the organism in Eukaryota, Choanoflagellata, Craspedida, Salpingoecidae. The record is from Rfam.
GUCAGCGUGGCCGAGUGGUUAAGGCGUCUGACUCAAGUUCAGAUACGUUCGCGUGCGCGGGUUCGAGUCCCGUCGCUGACA